RNAcentral lists this ribosomal RNA (596 nucleotides) under uncultured Nitrososphaerota archaeon. RNAcentral's name for it is "bacterial SSU rRNA". It matches the Rfam family "Archaeal small subunit ribosomal RNA", at positions 77 to 675 of the family's 1478-position model. The record is from RNAcentral. Lineage: Archaea; Thermoproteati; Nitrososphaerota.
CAAGGCAGACGGCUCAUUCCGCGUAGUCAACCUAACCUAUGGAUGGGAAUAACCUCGGGAAACUGAGAAUAAUACCCAAUAGAACACUAUGCCUGGAAUGGUUUGUGUUCCAAAUGAUUUAUCGCCGUAGGAUGGGACUGCGGCCUAUCAGUUUGUUGGUGAGGUAAUGGCCCACCAAGACUAUUACAGGUACGGGCUCUGAGAGGAGUAGCCCGGAGAUGGGUACUGAGACACGGACCCAGGCCCUAUGGGGCGCAGCAGGCGAGAAAACUUUGCAAUGUGCGAAAGCACGACAAGGUUAAUCCGAGUGGUUUGUGCUAAACAGACCUUUUGUUAGUCCUAGAAACACUAACGAAUAAGGGGUGGGCAAGUUCUGGUGUCAGCCGCCGCGGUAAAACCAGCACCUCAAGUGGUCAGGAUGAUUAUUGGGCCUAAAGCAUCCGUAGCCGGCUCUGUAAGUUUUCGGUUAAAUCUGUACGCUCAACGUACAGGCUGCCGGGANUACUGCAAAGCUAGGGAGUGGGAAAGGUANACGGUACUCGGUAGGAAGGGGUNAAAUCCUUUGAUCUNUUGAUGACCCCCUGUGGCGAAGGCGG